AAAAAUGCUGAGAACGGGAACAGUAAACAGUUAUGAAAUCCCAAGAGAGCUAUCGUCGGGUGAAAGAUAGCGAUUUCGGAGAGUUGAAGCUCGCCCUGGAGCAUUCCGGCUGACUGAUCAGGCCGGAACGGUUUUCACCGUUAUAUGAUUAAAGAGAAUUCAACAUUUGUUAUGUUGGGUUAAAUUGAGUGGUACCGCGGAAUAGCUUUUCGUCUCAUGU
Molecule: non-coding RNA, 220 nt
Filed under: Ruminiclostridium hungatei
Lineage: Bacteria; Bacillati; Bacillota; Clostridia; Eubacteriales; Oscillospiraceae
Description: Clostridium hungatei T-box sequence
Rfam family: T-box leader
About the family: Uncharged tRNA acts as the effector for transcription antitermination of genes in the T-box leader family.
Source: RNAcentral